This 68-nucleotide transfer RNA is filed under the name Salamandra salamandra (fire salamander). RNAcentral describes it as "tRNA-Tyr". It matches the Rfam family "tRNA". From Rfam's summary of the family: Transfer RNA (tRNA) molecules are approximately 80 nucleotides in length. Their secondary structure includes four short double-helical elements and three loops (D, anti-codon, and T loops). Lineage: Eukaryota; Metazoa; Chordata; Amphibia; Caudata; Salamandridae. The record is from RNAcentral.
GGUAAAAUGGCCGAAAUAGGCGUAGGGUUGUAGCCCUUAUAAUAAAGGUUAGAGUCCUUUUUUUAUCA